RNAcentral lists this long non-coding RNA (2166 nucleotides) under Homo sapiens (human). RNAcentral describes it as "HSALNT0345802". Lineage: Eukaryota; Metazoa; Chordata; Mammalia; Primates; Hominidae. The record is from RNAcentral.
GGAGAGUAGCAAGAAAUAUUCCCAUAUUGCAAUCUGAAAACCAGGGCCCAGGUAAGGCGUCUUCUGAGACCCCCUUCAUGCUCACCAGCCACGGCCUAUUUCCUGUGCACCUCUCCAGAGUAACAGCCCAAGAGCCAAGGCAUCAUCUGCCAAGUAAAACAAGACAAGACCAAACAGAUGGCCUUGGUAUCGUGUUUUGUAAUAAACUGUACAGUACUGGGAAGUAGUACAGGUUAGGUGUUAAGAGCAGAACUUUGGAAUAAGACAUCUAGGAUUCAUCAUACCUUGGUGACCUUAGGCAAGUGACUUAAUUUCUCUAAGUAGCAGGAUCUCAGCUAUGAAGUUGAGAUCCUCAUAGAACUGUCAUCACAGAUAAAGGUGGUGAUACUCGGAGCCUGUAGGACAGAGCCUUGCCUUACGUGCUUAAUAGAUGACAGAUGUGAUUACUGAACUGCUGUCAUUUUUGCUUGUUAUUCUGUCUUAUGAUAGAACUUAUAAAAGACUUCUUAACCAGCUGUCUAAUGUGUAGUCCAGGUUCUGCAAAGAACCACAGGAACAAUAGUGAAAAGCUGUGCUCAUUUACCCCCAUGUCCUCACACACUGUGUUUUGCCCUGGAUUCUGUGGUUGGUGCAGAUUUUACAAUUAGAGACAAUGACAAUUCCACCCCUAAAUACCAUGCUCUGAUAUCCUCUCCCUGCAUACUCACUGCCACCUGAAGUCAAGACAGCCAAGAAGUCCCUGAACAACCAGUCACUGUGGUUCUGUUGGGUGCCCCUACUAGGAUUAUUUUUCUGCAUUGCCAGUUCUCUCUGGAAGUCUGCGCGGAAGACAGAGGAUCUCUUCUCCUCUCCUCUCCGCCUAGGCUAGCAUACCUCCUCCAGGUCUCAAACCAGUAAGAGGCAACUGGACUUUCCCUAAUGAGCCCUGUUCUCACGUGGCUCUCUCAAUUGCGCAGAAGCAAGUUGCACGUUAGCAAACCACGGUUGGUGGAAAAUUGACCUGCAAAGUCACAUGUGCAAAGAAAAUGUGUUAUUUUUCAGAGCCCCGAUGUUGUUUGUGCUGUGGUUGGCAGUGGCAACCAUGGGGGUCUGGCUAAUUAACCAGGUACACCUAAUAAUGGGCUUGGCUCUGUCAUGGUGGUGCAUCCUUGGAUACAGAAAAUGUCAACAGUUGGACUAUGGACCACAGAGUGUGUGCAGUGGGACAGGGGUGGAAGGAGGAAAGGUUCUCUGGAGUCUCCCGCAGGACUCUCCUUCUAGAAAGUUCUACAUAAGAGUAAACACUACUAUUGUGUUCCUGGUGAACGGACCCAGUCUCGUAAGAACCCUCCCACGGGUGGAGUGCUUUAUAGGCCAGAAAGCCUCUCCAACAGCCUCAGGAGCAGAACUCAGGUUUCAAGUUUUGCCUUUUCCUCCAGAACCAGAAUGACUUUUUGUCCACCUUGCCAUUGGAGGGAAGAGGCCAUGGCUCUCCAGGUGACCAGAGUGAGGACUCAGCUCUGAGGUGGAACAGCCCAUCAGCAGGUGCCUGUGGAAGCCACUGAUAGUGGAUGAAGACGAAAUUGGCUUUUCAUGUCAGUAGCUGCCAAUUCAAUGGGAAAGACAGGAGGCCACCAACCUAUUUCCUGUGGGCUCUAGAACCCUCCAUGGAUGACAUCAGCUUCCUGUCUCCACCAACCCAAGUGGUACUUCGCUCAGUAACCUCGGGGUGGAAGUUUUUCUAGAAAGUGGCCAGACUCCUGAGCCAUCCUUGAUAGCAUUUGUAAUUUUGGAUGAUGCUAUCCUUGAUAGCAUUUCUUCUUUAUUUGUGAAUGAACAAGGAUGAUCCAGCCAUCCUUGAUAGCAUUUCUUCUUUAUUUGUGAAUGAACAAACUCCUGAGUCCCUCCCCUCCUCACUCCGACUGCCCCCGAAGGCCCUUCCUUCUCAAAGGCAGUUUCUGGAAGAAGCACCACCAACUAUCAGGCUGGAAAUACUUUGUACCUGAAAAAUCAAGUUUACUAAUGUGCACUGUUUCAGUAUUUAAACGUGUGAUGCUAUAUUGUGCCAUACUUUAUUCUUUAAAUUUUAAAUUUUAAAUUAUUUAAUUUUAUUAGAUACAAGUAAGCAACAUGAAAAAAAUUUAAAUAACAACAACACUGAGAAACCACCAUUGUUAAUACCUUGGC